GGAGCAGCUUCCAUCUAGAAAGGUGCAGAUGCUGUGUCAGAGGGAGGAAUGGACGUGGCAGAUGUGCUGGCUGCAAAGAGCUCUGCCCGCAGCAGCAGCACGCAUCCCUUCUGCUCACUUUCUAUUGGCCAAAGCAAGUCACACAGCCACGCCCAGCUCGGGGGGCGGGCAGGGAAAUCCACUCCUCCACUAGACCUGGAAGGACAGAGCGCCCAUGGCUAUGGAUAGCUCCCACGGCUAUGGAUAGCUCCCACGACUCCCCACAGACAAAGAUUUCUGCCUGGUGGAGCUUAUUCCAGUCUCUGAAGGGGAACACAGACAAUAAGUAAUAGACACGAUAGGAGGAGCAGUGUCAACAGUCCUAGCCAGCUGUUGCUGAAGGGCCCAACACCAAAUCCCAGCUGAAGAACAGCUUCUCAUCUUUUGAGACACAGCACAGGGUGAUGGGCAUGGAGCUCUUCCACACUCCCCACAGUCUGACUUAGCUCUCUCCGUUGUGCCCUCCUGGCACCCUGCUCGUAUUUUAUUGUGGCACCUAUAUCGCUGGAUCUCACUCACUGGUUUGCACUCCUGUAUCCCCUUUGAGGGAACAAAUCCCAUGCCUCUGCAAUCCCAGGAUCUGAUACUGAGAUAGACACUAAACAGAUAUUUAAAAAUUUUUGAUAAUCAAUGAAUGGACAAGGAGAAUAAAUAAUAUGAAAGAUGAAAUAAAGAAAUAAAAGUAUUAAUGAGAGUAUAAACAUAUCCAGAUUGGGCUGGGUGCGAUGGCUCAUGCCUAUAAUCCCAGCACUUUGGGAGGCUGAGGUGGGAGGAUCACUUGAGGUCAAGAGUUCGAGAGCAGCCUGGCCAACAUGGCGAAACCCUGUCUCUGCUAGAGAUACAAAAAUUAGCUGGGUGUGGUGGUGUGUGCUUGUAAUCCCAGCUACUUGGGAGGCUGAGGCAGGAGAAUCACUUGAACCUGGGAGGCGGAAGCUGCAGUGAGCUGAAAUUGCACCAGCCUGGGUGACACAGUGAGACUCUGUCUCAAAACAAAACAAAACAACAACAACAAAAAAAAAAAAAAAAGAAAGAAAGAAAAAAAGAAAUCCAGAUAGACUAUUAUGUCUUACUGUUCUUUUUCAUUCAUACCAAAUGGGAAAGAAUUUCCUGUCAAUGCUGGCAGUCUCUGGCUAUCAUGUGGCAGCAUCCGGGAAGGACCUUUGAGGCCACGCUCUUUCCCUCAGGGGACAGUGAGGUGCGUUGUCCAUGGCACCGAUGGGUUUUUCUCUGGGUAGCAGGAGGUUCCACAAUUCCCCAGCCCCAUUUCCUUUUAAGUCAUUCUGGUUAUCAUUUCAGUUGAAAGAAUUGGAGCUACUUUUCACUUGGGAGAACAUAAUAAAAAUCACUUAUUCAGUACUAAAUUAGGAUGGACAGCCUUUCUCUUGGGAAGAAAAGCAAUAACAGAUCACAAUAAUGAGAUUGUGCAACAAGCUUUGAAAAUGCUUAUACUACAUUUAUAUGAAACAGUAUUUGCUUACACUUCAGAUAUGGCUGUCGAUUUAUGGUUCAGAGCCAUGGAGCAGGUAAUAAAUAUGACUGUGACAACUUUCUGAAAUCAUUUUUAUUACUUUUUAAAAAUAAAAAUACUAUUUGCUGUUCAAUUCCUAUUAAACUAUAGCUU
This 1660-nucleotide long non-coding RNA is filed under the name Homo sapiens (human). Its description in RNAcentral is "HSALNT0393569". The record is from RNAcentral. Lineage: Eukaryota; Metazoa; Chordata; Mammalia; Primates; Hominidae.